UUUUCCUUUCUUUACUUUUUAUUAUUAUUGCAAAAUUGGUUACUUCUUCAUAAAAAAGGAAUACAUUUUGCUUUUGUUGAGUAAUGCUCUAAUUAUCUGAGGUCUGGCAGUAAUUGGCUCAGACUGAUCAUGGCUGUCCACUCCAUGAAGGAGGCCAUAGCAACAAUGGGAAUUAGGUUAUGCUCUUAAAGGCAGGCACGCAGCAGGGAAGGAACAGAAGCUUCACAGAAAGCUGAAGGUGGUGGCUACUGCCCUGGAGCGUGACCUUUCUAAUGGUCAUGACCUUCUCUGCAAGGGUAAUUACCAUGUCCAUUGGUUAGCGAUGCAUCUUUCAUUUCUUCUCCACUUCCAUGCCCUUAAGUACCACAUAAUAAUAAGGAUAACAAACAGGGCUAGGAAAAGGGAGGGAACAUAAUCAUCUCACGUCUGCCCAAUGCUUUACAGUUUAUACCGUGCUUUUACACACCAUAUAGUUUAAUUAUAUGA
Molecule: long non-coding RNA, 486 nt
Filed under: Bos taurus (domestic cattle)
Lineage: Eukaryota; Metazoa; Chordata; Mammalia; Artiodactyla; Bovidae
Description: long non-coding RNA NONBTAT017481
Source: RNAcentral